AGCGAACGUUUGCGGCGGGCUUAACACAUGCAAGUCGAACGAGAAUCCCUUCGGGGAGGAAAGUGGCGCACGGGUGCGUAACACGUGGAUAACCAACCCAUUGGUUUGGGACAACACCGGGAAACUGGUGCUAAUACCAGAUGUGUCGCAGCUGUCUUCAGGCGGUUGCGAGAAAGGCCCGCAAGGGUCGCCAACGGACGGGUCCGCGUCCCAUCAGCUAGUUGGUGAGGUAAUGGCUCACCAAGGCAAAGACGGGUAGCUGGUCUGAGAGGAUGAUCAGCCACACUGGAACUGAGACACGGUCCAGACUCCUACGGG
Molecule: ribosomal RNA, 318 nt
Filed under: uncultured bacterium
Lineage: Bacteria
Description: bacterial SSU rRNA
Rfam family: Bacterial small subunit ribosomal RNA
Source: RNAcentral